GCCUGAGUGGCGGAAUUGGUAGACGCAGCGGAUUCAAAAUCCGCCGAUAGUGAUAUCGUGAGAGUUCGAGUCUCUCCUUAGGCACCA
Molecule: transfer RNA, 87 nt
Filed under: Cardiobacteriaceae bacterium
Lineage: Bacteria; Pseudomonadati; Pseudomonadota; Gammaproteobacteria; Cardiobacteriales; Cardiobacteriaceae
Description: tRNA-Leu
Rfam family: tRNA
About the family: Transfer RNA (tRNA) molecules are approximately 80 nucleotides in length.
Source: RNAcentral